GCAGGCCUAACACAUGCAAGUCGAACGGUAACAGGAAGCAUCUUGCUGCUUUGCUGACGAGUGGCGGACGGGUGAGUAAUGUCUGGGAAACUGCCUGAUGGAGGGGGAUAACUACUGGAAACGGUAGCUAAUACCGCAUAACGUCGCAAGACCAAAGAGGGGGACCUUCGGGCCUCUUGCCAUCGGAUGUGCCCAGAUGGGAUUAGCUAGUAGGUGGGGUAACGGCUCACCUAGGCGACGAUCCCUAGCUGGUCUGAGAGGAUGACAGCCACACUGGAACUGAGACACGGUCCAGACUCCUACGGGAGGCAGCAGUGGGGAAUAUUGCACAAUGGGCGCAAGCCUGAUGCAGCCAUGCCGCGUGUAUGAAGAAGGCCUUCGGGUUGUAAAGUACUUUCAGCGGGGAGGAAGGGAGUAAAGUUAAUACCUUUGCUCAUUGACGUUACCCGCAGAAGAAGCACCGGCUAACUCCGUGCCAGCAGCCGCGGUAAUACGGAGGGUGCAAGCGUUCAUCGGAAUUACUGCGCCUAAAGCGCACGCAGGCGGUUUGUUAAGUCAGAUGUGAAAUCCCGGGGCUCAACCUGGGAACUGCAUCUGAUACUGGCAAGCUUGAGUCUCGUAGAGGGGGGUAGAUUUCCAGGUGUAGCGGUGAAAUGCGUAGAGAUCUGGAGGAAUACCGGUGGCGAAGGCGGCCCCCUGGACGAAGACUGACGCUCAGGUGCGAAAGCGUGGGGAGCAAACAGGAUUAGAUACCCUGGUAGUCCACGCCGUAAACGAUGUCGACUUGGAGGUUGUGCCCUUGAGGCGUGGCUUCCGGAGCUAACGCGUUAAGUCGACCGCCUGGGGAGUACGGCCGCAAGGUUAAAACUCAAAUGAAUUGACGGGGGCCCGCACAAGCGGUGGAGCAUGUGGUUUAAUUCGAUGCAACGCGAAGAACCUUACCUGGUCUUGACAUCCACGGAAGUUUUCAGAGAUGAGAAUGUGCCUUCGGGAACCGUGAGACAGGUGCUGCAUGGCUGUCGUCAGCUCGUGUUGUGAAAUGUUGGGUUAAGUCCCGCAACGAGCGCAACCCUUAUCCUUUGUUGCCAGCGGUCCGGCCGGGAACUCAAAGGAGACUGCCAGUGAUAAACUGGAGGAAGGUGGGGAUGACGUCAAGUCAUCAUGGCCCUUACGACCAGGGCUACACACGUGCUACAAUGGCGCAUACAAAGAGAAGCGACCUCGCGAGAGCAAGCGGACCUCAUAAAGUGCGUCGUAGUCCGGAUUGGAGUCUGCAACUCGACUCCAUGAAGUCGGAAUCGCUAGUAAUCGUGGAUCAGAAUGCCACGGUGAAUACGUUCCCGGGCCUUGUACACACCGCCCGUCACACCAUGGGAGUGGGUUGCAAAAGAAGUAGGUAGCUUAACCUUCGGGAGGGCGCUUACCACUUUGUGAUUCAUGACUGGGGUG
This 1449-nucleotide ribosomal RNA is filed under the name uncultured organism. Its description in RNAcentral is "SSU rRNA". It matches the Rfam family "Bacterial small subunit ribosomal RNA". The record is from RNAcentral.